GUGCCAGCCGCCGCGGUAAUACGGAGGGGGCAAGCGUUGUUCGGAAUCACUGGGUGUAAAGGGUGCGUAGGCGGUCCGAUAAGUCUGAUGUGAAAGCCCUGGGCUCAACUCAGGAACUGCAUUGGAAACUGACGGACUGGAGUACCGGAGAGGGAAGCGGAAUUCCUGGUGUAGCGGUGAAAUGCGUAGAUACCAGGAGGAACACCGGUGGCGAAAGCGGUUUCCUGGCCGAGUACUGACGCUGAGGCACGAAAGCGUGGGGAGCGAACGGGAUUAGAUACCCGCGUAGUCC
This 292-nucleotide ribosomal RNA is filed under the name uncultured bacterium. RNAcentral's name for it is "partial 16S ribosomal RNA". It matches the Rfam family "Bacterial small subunit ribosomal RNA", at positions 505 to 796 of the family's 1533-position model. The record is from RNAcentral.